GUAGGUGGCAAGCGUUGUCCGGGAAUUAUUGGGGCGUAAAGCGCGCGCAAGCGGUUCUUUAAGUCUGAUGUGAAAGCCCACGGGCUCAACCGUGGAGGGUCAUUGGAAACUGGAGAACUUGAGUACAGAAGAGGAAAGCGGAAUUCCACGUGUAGCGGUGAAAUGCGUAGAGAUGUGGAGGAACACCAGUGGCGAAGGCGGCUUUCUGGUCUGUAACUGACGCUGAGGCGCGAAAGCGUGGGGAGCAAACAGGAUUAGAUACCCUGGUAGUCCACGCCGUAAACGAUGAGUGCUAAGUGUUAGGGGGUUUCCGCCCCUUAGUGCUGCAGCUAACGCAUUAAGCACUCCGCCUGGGGAGUACGGCCGCAAAGGCUG
This 375-nucleotide ribosomal RNA is filed under the name uncultured organism. Its description in RNAcentral is "partial 16S ribosomal RNA". It matches the Rfam family "Bacterial small subunit ribosomal RNA", at positions 527 to 896 of the family's 1533-position model. The record is from RNAcentral.